UGGAUCAAUGAUGAUGACUGGUGACGUAUUAGUCACAUGCAAUGAGUACUACGUGUCUGGAACUCUGAGGCCCAA
This 75-nucleotide small nucleolar RNA is filed under the name Equus asinus (donkey). RNAcentral's name for it is "Small nucleolar RNA SNORD113/SNORD114 family (ENSEASG00005032601.1, ENSEASG00020017582.1)". It matches the Rfam family "Small nucleolar RNA SNORD113/SNORD114 family". Rfam says of the family: The imprinted human domain at 14q32 contains two clusters of tandemly repeated small nucleolar RNAs named 14q(I) and 14q(II) snoRNAs. These two clusters are named SNORD113 and SNORD114 respectively in the HGNC approved gene symbol nomenclature. Lineage: Eukaryota; Metazoa; Chordata; Mammalia; Perissodactyla; Equidae. The record is from Rfam by way of RNAcentral.